RNAcentral lists this ribosomal RNA (483 nucleotides) under uncultured bacterium. Its description in RNAcentral is "partial 16S ribosomal RNA". It matches the Rfam family "Bacterial small subunit ribosomal RNA", at positions 29 to 506 of the family's 1533-position model. The record is from RNAcentral.
AUUGAACGCUAGCGGGAUGCUUUACACAUGCAAGUCGAACGGCAGCGCGGACUUCGGUCUGGCGGCGAGUGGCGAACGGGUGAGUAAUGUAUCGGAACGUGCCCAGUAGCGGGGGAUAACUACGCGAAGGCGUAGCUAAUACCGCAUACGCCCUACGGGGGAAAGCAGGGGAUCGUAAGACCUUGCACUAUUGGAGCGGCCGAUAUCGGAUUAGCUAGUUGGUGAGGUAACGGCUCACCAAGGCGACGAUCCGUAGCUGGUUUGAGAGGACGACCAGCCACCCGGGGAAUGAGACGCGGCCCAAACCCCUAGGGGGGGCAGCGGGGGGGAAUUUUGGAAAAGGGGGGAAACCCUGACCCAGCCACCCCGGGUGGGAGAUGAAGGCCUUCGGGUUGUAAAGCACUUUUGGAAGGAAAAAAACGUGGGGGGCUAAUACCCCGUGGAACGGACGGUACCUGCAAAAAAAGCACCGGAUAACUACGU